This 253-nucleotide ribosomal RNA is filed under the name uncultured bacterium. Its description in RNAcentral is "partial 16S ribosomal RNA". It matches the Rfam family "Bacterial small subunit ribosomal RNA", at positions 524 to 776 of the family's 1533-position model. The record is from RNAcentral.
UACAGAGGUCUCAAGCGUUGUUCGGAAUCACUGGGCGUAAAGGGUGCGUAGGCGGCGGGGAAAGUCAGAUGUGAAAUCCGGAGGCUCAACCUCCGAAUUGCAUCCGAUACUCCCUCGCUAGAGAGUUGUAGAGGAGCUUGGAAUUCUCGGUGUAGCAGUGAAAUGCGUAGAUAUCGAGAAGAACGCUCGCAGCGAAAGCGAAGCUCUGGGCAAUUUCUGACGCUGAUGCACGAAGGCCAGGGGAGCAAACGGG